RNAcentral lists this ribosomal RNA (484 nucleotides) under uncultured bacterium. RNAcentral describes it as "partial 16S ribosomal RNA". It matches the Rfam family "Bacterial small subunit ribosomal RNA", at positions 30 to 507 of the family's 1533-position model. The record is from RNAcentral.
AUUGAACGCUGGCGGCAGGCCUAACACAUGCAAGUCGAGCGGAUGAAGGGAGCUUGCUCCUGGAUUCAGCGGCGGACGGGUGAGUAAUGCCUAGGAAUCUGCCUGGUAGUGGGGUAUAACGUCCUGAAACGGGCGCUAAUACCGCAUACGUCCUGAGGGAGAAAGUGGGGGAUCUUCGGACCUCACGCUAUCAGAUGAGCCUAGGUCGGAUUAGCUAGUUGGUGGGGUAAAGGCCUACCAAGGCGACGAUCCGUAACUGGUCUGAGAGGAUGAUCAGUCACACUGGAACUGAGACACGGUCCAGACUCCUACGGGAGGCAGCAGUGGGGAAUAUUGGACAAUGGGCGAAAGCCUGAUCCAGCCAUGCCGCGUGUGUGAAGAAGGUCUUCGGAUUGUAAAGCACUUUAAGUUGGGAGGAAGGGCAGUAAGUUAAUACCUUGCUGUUUUGACGUUACCAACAGAAUAAGCACCGGCUAACUUCGUG